Molecule: non-coding RNA, 451 nt
Organism: Pelobates cultripes (western spadefoot toad)
Lineage: Eukaryota; Metazoa; Chordata; Amphibia; Anura; Pelobatidae
Source: the annotation of a GenBank genome assembly
UAGGUACGUCAGAAUGUUUUAAGAUGUUCGUUAUAUGGAAAACAGAGAGACAGAGUGUGGUGGAACCAACCUCGCCACUGUGCAUUGGAGGAGCAUGGUUGCCCGCCUGCUCCCCUUACACUAUGGACAAGCAUUUAAAAACACAAUUUUCCCUGCAGGAAGGCUUAUUCGUGCCUUUCUGCCCAGGGUGUUCAGUAGAUUCAAUCUACCAAACAAACUAAGGACCACCAGGGACUUUCGGAUGUCUCCCAGAAGCGGCGUGUGCAGUCAACUGACCACGCAGUAGCUGCAGUUAACCGCAGCUUAGCUCAUUGUUACCGGGUGGUCGUGACUGCGCAUAACUAACACAGGGUGGCAGCAUUCUGUUCGGCCAGCGGUGUUCAGUCACAAAUUCAUGAAACUAAAAACGGACACUUAUACUCGCGAACAGCGCUGAGCCUCCAGUCUUCAC